UUUCCGUAGGUGAACCUGCGGAAGGAUCAUUAUUGUAUAACCGAGGUGCGAGGGCUGUCGCUGAACCGAUAGGUCGCGCGGGCCCGAGUGCCCUCACACACUCGCAUCUCCCCCCUUUGUGCACCACCGCGGGGGUCCCUCCUUGGCUUGUUCGGAGGGGUGCUUACCUUUUCACACAAACUUUGUAUGCAGUGUAGAAUGUAUUUUUUGUGUUUGCGAUCACGCAAUCAAUACAACUUUCAACAACGGAUCUCUUGGCUCUC
This 263-nucleotide unclassified non-coding RNA is filed under the name plant metagenome. Its description in RNAcentral is "partial contains small subunit ribosomal RNA, internal transcribed spacer 1, and 5.8S ribosomal RNA". The record is from RNAcentral.